GAUUUCUGGUUCGGCGCAUUUGGCCCGCCUCGGUUUACGGGGUUGUGUGCCGAUAUGCGCCAUCCAUCCUUCGUGUGAACGGCUCUUCCCUUCAUCGGGCGGAGUCGCUGAUCACGAUCUUUUACUUUGAAAAAAUUAGAGUGUUUAAAGCAGGCUUGCGCUAUGAAUACAUUAGCAUGGAAUAAUAAUUUAGGACUUUGGUCUUAUUUUGUUGGUUUCUAGGACUAAAGUAAUGAUUGAUAGGGACAGUUGGGGGUGCUAGUAUUCAGCGGCCAGAGGUGAAAUUCUUGGAUUCGCUGAAGACUAACUAAUGCGAAAGCAUU
Molecule: ribosomal RNA, 323 nt
Filed under: Cercomonadidae sp.
Lineage: Eukaryota; Cercozoa; Cercomonadida; Cercomonadidae
Description: SSU rRNA
Rfam family: Eukaryotic small subunit ribosomal RNA (bases 105-323)
Source: RNAcentral